UUUUGUUUUUUAUCUUUUAAAUUUAUAUUUGUUUUUUCUUAUUUUCUUAUUACAAGUUUCUUUGACAUUAAAAGAGGAAGAAUAAUAAGAAAGAAACAUAAACCCCUUGAGUUUAGUCGAAUUAAAUUUUGUAAUUUAAAAACUAUCGUAAUUUUAACUCAUGCUUCAAAAACGGUUGAAAAUAUUUACUUAUGAGUUCGUGUAAUUGUUAAAGGAGUGAGGAAAAAUAUUUUUCAAUCUAAGAUUUUAGUUUCUAAUCAAUUCUUAAAAGUUUUACUUAUGUUUGAAUUUAAUUCCUAGGUUUUAAAUUUCCUAAAUUUAAAAAAAUUUAAAACAGUAGAUAACUCAAAAUCAAAUUCGAACAGCAACAAUAUGAAAUUGUGGAAAAAAUAUAUUUUGAAAAAAAAAAGAAUUUUAAUACAAUGGUUUGAACUAAUAAAUAAUAUUUUCAUUAAUCCAUAUAAAUAGAAGAACUUUUAAAAAAUAUAAUAAAACGUUAAAAUAUUUAAAUCAAUUUGUGAAAAAAGACCACUUGUCCGAAAUGAAAAAUCUAAAAAAUGUAUAUUUUGUAAAUAUGGUUUAAACUUGGUUAUUCUUUUUUAUCUUUUAGAUUUGGGUAUACAGUUUUUUCAAAAUAAUAGUUUAAAUUUGGUUAUGAUACAAACACAUUUAGAUUUGAUUAUUUAAAUUUGGGUUGUCAAAUCUAAACGAUUUUUUAAAAAAAAAUUGGUAAAUUAAACGAAUUUGGAUAGUUUUCCAAAUAUAUCACGCGACUUCUCAAAUAUAUUAGGCUGUUCCUCACAUAUAUUUGGUAGAAAUGAAUAACCAAAUCAAAACGACGGUGUGUCAAAUCUAAACGAUCAGGAUGCCAAUUAAUCACAUAAUAUUUUUUGUAUUUUCCAUCGUGGAUCUAUGUGCUUCUUUCAUUUUUGAAAUUGUUUUAAUGUGUGUAAAUAUUUGGCCGAUUUGAUACAUAUUAUUUGACCAUUGAGUUUUUAAUAAUAGAUACAUUAAGUUUUUAUAUUUUUUAAUUUUACCCUUUUAACUCUCAAUUUUUAAAAUAGAUUUAAAACAUUCCUACCGUAUUUCUUUCUUUAUAUUUUAAAUUAGAAAAUAUUUUUUAAAAAAUUCAAAGUAUCAUUUAUUAUAUAAAAAAUAAUAAUAUACCAACCAAAAAAAUAUUUGGAAAACUUGUAAACCAAAUGCAAAUAUUCUUUGAAAAAAAAUUAUAUUAAAAGAACAAUUUGUCUCGUUUGAUUCUUUAGGACAAGUUUGGCGAUUCAGAUAGAUGAAGGAAGAGGUUGAUUGGAUUGACUAUCUUAAACGUGAUUUCUAAUAACCUAGUUCUUAAAUUUUUGGAUCGAGAUAAGUUGAACGGUAGGAUUAUGUAUUAAUUUAAAUUAUUUACAACACUAACUAAUAAUUAAAAAAUAUCAGUAAAUACUAAUAAUUCACUUAUCAAACAUCAAUCUUGAAACGAAAAAGUAUUAAAAUUUACAAAUCAUCAUACUAUAGAACAUCAAACAUUAAAGAAAGAAAUAAUUAAUAUAUGUAGUUUGAGUCAGGUAGAGUUAACUUUCAUUCUAAUAUCCAAUCUGACGAAAAAAAACAAAAAACAAAAUAAAUCCUCAAGAGACGUUUGGAAUAAGGAUUGUGUAUUGAUUAUAAUAACCACCUCUCGUUUUAAUAAAUACCAUUUGAAAGUUGAAACUUAUCAAUUAGCUACAAUAAACAUUAUUUCAAAACAACUAACUUUGUUACAAUAUUAUAUUUACCGUAAUUUGCUUACGUUUUUGCUAUUUUACACUCCUCAUUUUUUUUAUUAUUUAUUACAGUAUCUAUUAUUUAUUUUUCAAACUAAAAGAGUUUAGACCUCAAACACAUAUGAUUAUAAUCCAAAUUAAAAUAAUCCACGCCCCAAACCUAAACUAUAAUAACUAAAUUAUGUUAACUAAUUUUCUACCUUAAACGUUUCUUUAUAUAGUGUUGUUCCGGUUGAUCAACACUCCCUAAUUUCAUUCCGUAGAUGUUUAGGACAAAUAAUUUGGAGUUAGCUAGUGCGAGUUAACGCCAAACACCUCUUAGGGGCAUUAUUGAUCCCUUAGUUAAUUUUUCUUAUUAAAAAAAGUUGUGCGGUUGAUUAUGUAUGAAAAAAAAUGUUUUUCAAGAAUACAUUUUUUUAUAAAUAUUUUGUUUAAAAUGUGUUUAAAGUUUAAACAGUUAAAUGUUUGGUUAAAUUUCUAUUAUAAGUGUUUAUAAAUAUAAUUUUCUCAAAUUAUGGUUGAAUGUUUUCUUUAAAUUGAUUAUUUUUCUAUCUUAAUUUUAAAAAAUGCAUUUGAAAAAGUUACCAAACAUUUUAAUUUUUUUAAAAUAAUUUUUUUUCAAAUUUAAAUAUUUUAAAAGACAAUCCAAACACACUUUAAAUUAAACUAUACAAUAGUAAUGUCGCAUAUUUAAAAGCAUGUGUUGGCGUGUUGUUCUGGCUGUGUUUAGAAUAUCUUCCUAGGAAAAGAGAUACUUUAUAACUUUACACAAUAUAUUUGAUUGUUUGUAUUAAAAUGGAGCAUUCAAAUUUAGUGUCACACACAAAAGGUAUUAUAUAUGCUAUAAAGUUUAUAGUUUAUUCUCAGAAAGAACAUUUUCUUUUCUUUUCCUGUGUAGAUCUACAUUAUUUAUUUUUAGGUUUCUUACACUGUCUCAUAAAAUAAAUUUAAAGAUAUUGUCAAUCUCGUGACAACUUUAACAUAUAAAACAUAACAAAAUAUUUAAAUUAUUUACAAAAUAUAGUAGAAUUUUUCAAAUAUUAUGAUAUAUUUUGUUUUGCUAUAUUUUAUAAAUAAUUUUUUUUCUUCUAUUUAUAACAAUUAAUUAAAGAAACUUAAUGAAUCUAAUUAUUUAAUAAUUACUUACAUAUCCUAAUAUAUUUUUAACGAUGCAUAUAUAUAGUCAUUUUAAAACUCUAGGUGUAUCAAGGAUAAAUAAAUCAAUAAAUACUUUUUAAAAUUAACGAAACUUCUCAUUGAUAUUUUCAUCCAUGUCUACGUAAAAUUGAUUAACAUUAAUUUCCAUUGAUAUACAAAUUCUAACUUUUUGACGCCACAAUGAUAUAGAUUUAAUAAUGGACAGAUGAUUUUGUGGAGACUAUUUCCAUAAAAUUCAAAAAGUUAUGUUCAAUAUCACAAACACUAGAGUUUAUGUAAAAGAAAAGGCAUAAAAGUUUCUAUUUUAGAAAAUAAUCAUAAUAACAACAAUAGUUUGAAGUGAGAGUAUGAGAUUUAAUUGCAUCUAAUCAUAUUACUGUAAAAAUAACAUGUGAAGAUAUCUAAUUAAGUAGACAUCGAAAAAAUAACGUAACAUAUUUGCAAAUUUUUCUUUUAAAACAAAAUUAUACGUUUGUGCUAGAUUUAGAAUAAAUUAAGAUAUGUUUUUGUAAAAGAAAGGUUAAAAUAUAGCUAAAACUCAGCAAACAUUUUAAAUUCUAUAAUUUUUUUACAUCAUCCUUAAAAAGUAUACUAAGAAUAAAAGAGAGAUAUAAUUAUAAAGUUAGAGCAUAAUAAAAUGGAAUGUGUGAUUGAUUUCUACAAUUGGAACAAUUCUUGGAAUUAUUUAUUAGGGGAGAUGCCAUGGGGAGGUUGGAGCAAAAUAGACUUCAUUAUUAAAGCCAUGAAUAUUUGGCAAUGGUGGAUUGCUUUUAUGCUUGUUGGAUUCUCUUUGAUGUUAUUUAUUAUUUGUGAAACAAAAAAAGAUAGGAAAUUGUUCUUUGCUGGAAAGCAAAAAAGUGCUUUGCAACCAUAGGAGACAUAGUACUAUUGAUGACACAUACAUUCAUUAGCUACACAACAAUUAAAAAAAAAAAAAUGAUCCAAAACCUAACAACGCAUACAUAAUUAAAGAAAAAAAAAUGUCUGAAGGAGAAGUGUCUCUAUGGUAUCAUUUGGAAGAGAAGCACUGGGUUACUUUGAACAACAAGUAAAAAUCUUUAGAUUGAACAUCAAAACUAAUCACUGAUCAAAUUAAAGUAAGAUUUGUAUUCCAAUAUAAAAUUCUAUUAGAACGUAUUCCCCGCAAAAGCAUGUAUACACCCAAAUAGCUUUACUAAAGAAACACUUGGAGAAUAAAUAAUCCCUAGACUCAACGUCACCAAUACAUAGAUGACAAUUACUAGGAAUAUUAGAACAUCACUGGCUCACAUGAUCAUGAGUCUUUAAAUGAUUUUGAAUAGCUAGCCAUGAAAUGAAAGAAUGUUGGGAAACAUCGCUAUCAAACUAGAGGGGACUGAACCAUGGGGUGCCUAGGGCGAAAAGAUUUUCAGACACUAGUCAUCCAAAACACACACUAGAAGAUUGACAAGAGAGCAAUCCUUCCAACCAACUUAAAUCUAAUCAAAUAUUGGAAUUAUUGAGAGAGUAGAGAAGUCAAUAAGUUCUCUAAAACUAGAAGGUUAGUCCCAAGACUCAUCUGUGCAUAAGAACUCACCCACUCAAUUAUGAAGAGAACACACCAAUCUACAUCCUCAAUUUUGAACUGUUGAAGGCUAGGGUCACCUAAGAACCAAGGGUCAUGCAAAACCAAACAAACGAUAUCCAUGCUCGUGACCACUAUGAUGUUUUAAGAGGAAAUCAAAAGUGAAUGUUAAACAUCAAAACACUUAAAAAGAUGUUUUUCUUAAAGUGAGUAUUUGUUGGAAAAACUUCUCAAUACUGUUGUAGGAAUAAGUAGAUAAAAAAUAAUACAAAUAAGAAAAAUACAAGAAUUUACACAAUAAAAUUAAUUAACAAAUGUUUAGAGAUCGUUUUUAUAGUGAUAAAAUAAUUAUCAGUAUGAACUUGUUUAAGCAUAUUUAGAAGGAGAAUAGGAAGAUUGUCUUUUGUGAAAACAUUCUAAAUAGAUCAAUAAGUGUUAGUGGUUUGAAUUGAAGUUCAUUUGAUACUAUAUGAAAGACAAUUAUUCUUUACGUAAAAGUUAACGAGUCUCUUCAUAAUAUGUGAAACUAUUUGUAGGGAGUGAAAAUAUCAAUUUAUAGUGCACUAUUCAAUUUGUUGUAUAAUUUAAAAAUGAUUAAAAUAAUAACUUAAAAGUUCUAAAACGUGGAGAGAUUGCGUCCAUGAAUUAUAAAAAUGUAAUAACAAUAACAAACCCUCGUUUGAUUGGUGUAAAUGGUUGGUAGAAUAACAAUCAUUUUCAAUUAUCUAUAUAUUGCCAAGUUAUAAUAAGUUAAAUAAUAUUAGUUGAAAUUAGUGAAGUUGUUUUUUUUAUAAAGAAACAAAGUUCAUUUAGCUAUGUUUGAUUGUUGGGUUUAGUUGGAAUUUUUUAAGUCCACAAAGGACAAAGCAAAUGAUUCUCUCAAACUCCUCUUUUUAAUACACUGAAAAUAUAUAAUAAAAUAGAUUUUAUUGGCUUUACUUUUUCUUUUUCUAAUUAUAAAAAAUAACAAAGUAGGCAAAAAAGAAAAAAAAACCUUUUAAUUAUUUCUAAAUAAUAUUUUCAAAAAUUAAAAAAUAAAUACAAUCAAUUUUAAUUUCUUAAAAUGUUUCAAUAAAAAUCUUGAUAGCAUGCAUGGAUAUGCCUUAACAAGUUAUUAAUUGUUUACGAUAAUUAUAUUCAUAUUAAUUAGCAACACAUUUGGUUGCUUAUUUAUUAUAGUUUUAAUUUUCUUCAUAGUUUCAUUUCAUUUUACACAUAGAUAGAUGUCAAUCUUAUAAAAUGUAAAAAUGUAUCGACAUGAUACAACAAUUUAAUACCAUAAAUACGUGUAUAACUCUUUCAAUAACAAAAAUUUCAAUACUUUGUUUGCUCUCUAUAUUAAACCAACAUAAAGUUUACUAAACAUUAUUAUUAUUUUAAAAUGUAAAAUUGUAAGAAACAAACAAACUUUGGAUGAAAAAAGCAAAGGGAAGAUAGUGAAAAAUCAUUUUCAAACUUUAUUUUAUAUUAGUAUAUUUUUUACCUUUUAAUUACUUUUAUGGGAAGAAAGGGCCAAAGAAAGAAAUAGUAAAAAAAAAAAAGAGAGAGAAAGAAAAGAAAUGAGAAGGUGAAAAUUGAUUGAAAGGUGCGUACUUGUUUUAUGUAAUAAUAAUGAGAAUUUAAAACUGAAUGACCAAACCAAAUAGGGUAUAUAAAAAUGGAAUUAAUUGAGGUAAGUGCUCCAUUAGUAUUUGCAAGAGAGUUUUAUAAUUAUAAGAAAGGUUAGAUAUUGAUUCAAAUUAUUGCGGAGUCGGAUUUGUACAUAAACUUUAUCUUCGUUUACAAUUAUUAAUAAAUUAAUAGAUCUUGUUUAGGUGAGUUUUCUUUUUCUUUCUUUCCUUUUUGGGAGGACACAAAUAAUUAAUUAUAUUUCCCAUAUCCUAACUCUUUAUCUUUCUCCUCAAUCAUUCAUUUUUAUUAGUUUUCCCUUUUUACGAAAUCUUUGUUAUUUUGGUAGUUGAAUUUUUAAUCUGUUUUGAUCACGGUAUUUAUUUUUAAAAUAACUUACUUUGAUUUAUAUAGUUUUAAAAUAAUUGACAUGACUUUAUAUAUUUUGAUGAUUAUACUUUAGAUUCAUCGUAUUAAUAUAUACAAAAAUUGUGUGAGACUAAAUAUGAAUAUGAAGAGUUAUAAGAAAGUAUAAAUGAAAUGGUUGCAAAUAACAAAAUUGUUAAUAAUAUUUACAAAAUAUAAUAAAAUUAUAGAUUCAAAUCAUUAAUAAAUUUGUUAUAUUUAAAAAUAGUCUAAAUAGACGGUGAAAAUGGUAAUAUAUAAUAAAAACAUUUUAAAAAAAUUCUAUUAAGUUUUUUAACUUUAGAAAAAAAAGUCUAAUAUAUCUUCAUACUUUCAAUUUUGUUAAAAAAUAAUUAUUAACCUUGAUAUAUCUAAUUAGGUUAUCUAUUAACCUAUUCUAACAUACUUUUCUUAGCCAAUUAUUUACUUAACAUAAACUUAAAAUUUUAUGGUUUUAUUAGACAUUAAGUUCAAUUUUAUACUUAGAAUCAACUAUAGGAUUUUCUUGUGUUAAACUUGUUAAAAUUAAUAAUUCAAAGUUUAUGGGCAUUUAAACACAAAAAGAACCAUUCAAAUACCUAUGAGAAGUAUUAAAACAAAAAUAUAUGACUAUGACAUAAAUAUAUUGGUAUCUUAAAACUAAUUUUUUAGGUAAAAUUUAAUUGUUUUGAAGUAAAUACGAAGUUGAACAAAUUAUUCAAUGAGGCUGUCACAAUGUGUCUGUCUUAUAAUAAUCGUCGUGGGUGCAUAGAAGAAAAUACAUGCUGUUAACGAUGCGUUAGAUAUAAAUUUGAUAUACUUCUAUCUUUUUGCAUAUUGGGUGGGUAUAUUUGGAGUGAUUUCACCAAAUAAUUAGUCAUGAAUUGAUGAAAGAUUAUAACAUUUUUUAAAGGAAGAAAGUAAAUUGAUAAAGAAGAAAAUAAUGGUUGGACAAUAUUAUUGCCCUCUUACUCAAAAGCUGGUCCAAUUAAGCCCAGUGGGCCAGCCCAAGUGCCUUUUGUUUUCCUUUAAAUAUAUAUGUAUAAAAUGAUAGGUUGUGAGUAAAGCUGAUGGAUAAAAUAUUUUCUAUGGAUCCUUAUGAUAAAUAUAGUCGAUCAUAGUUAUUGUUAAUACAAAUAUAUAUUAUAUAAAAAUAGUUAUAGUCUAUAGUUAUGGUAGAAGUAACAAUUUAGUCUAUUAUUUGAUAAUUUAGCCAUGUGAAAAUGUAAUGGUUUUCUUUGUAUAAAUAAAUUACUUAGAGAAUAUAAUUUUAUAAAAUAAUCAUGUAUAAUAAAAUAGUAAAAUUUGGCAUUAAAUUUUGAUAAAUUUUGUUUAGGGUAAGAAUUGAAUGGUUAAAAAUACUAAAUUGUUAUAUAAGAUAUUGAGGGAAUAAAUUGUUAACUUUUUACAGAGUUCAGUUUAGAGGACCAACAUUAAUUUUUUAAUCCUAUCCUCCAGUAAUUUACAUAAAUUUUAUAAAAUUAUUUGUCUGUAUAACAAAAUAAGAAAAACUCAUGCGAUCUUUUUUUCAUAAAUUCUAUAUAUGUCUUUGUAAUUUAUAUCUUUUUCUGCCAUUUGUUAAUUUCGGGUCAUCUUGAUACAAUUAAGGCUAGAUCGAAUAACUAAAGGAGAAAUUUUCCAUUCGGGACAUCUCGGGACAAUGUAUGUCCGAGAUUGAAUAAAUUAAAGACAGUUAUUUCAUUCCGAACGUCUUAGCAUCACUAAGCCUACGAUACAAUAAGUGAAAGAGAAAUUCUUUCAUCCUGGGAGAUUGUAUACUCAAGAUCGAAUAAAUUAAAGACAGAAUUCGUUCAUUCAGUGCAUGAUAUAUUCAAUAUCGUGUAUCAAAAUCUACACAAUCAUGUAUUGAGCUGUAUGACCAAUGUUAAUUGAGAUAAUUUUGAUAUUUUUUUGGUUUUUAAAAUUGUUAUAGUAAAUAUUUUGGAGGUUUCUAUAUUUUUUUAAAAGUCCAUAUUUUUUAAGUGAGAACACAUGAUUUACCGCAGGCAAAUAUAAUAGAGUAAAGGGAGUACCCUCCUCGGAAGUAACUAUUUUUAAAAUUUUGUGUUUCCUCACAUCCUUAGUUAUCAACUCCCUCACCACUUCCUUUUUCUCUCCGCCACUAUCCGGUGCUUCAAUGGCGUUGACACUGAAUACACUUCCAUCUCUAAGAUUGUCCAGCAUCCAUGCCAAUAGAGUUCGAUUUCAAUCUUCUUUAUCGCCAGUUUCUGUUUCUUUUUCUAGUGAGUUUCACUCUCUAAUGCUUUACUGAUUUCUGCAAACAACCAAACCAAAUUGAAACGCGUUCAUAUCCCAUAGCCUUCGAAUUGAAGAAUGAGCGUUUUCAUUUAAGCCCUAUGUUACUUCCAUUGUCCUUCCAAUUUUCUUUUUCUUCUUCACGGAUUUCUCUGGCUUCCAUGUCGAUUUUGAGAUAUUAAGUGUUAGUUCUUAUUUCUACUGGUAACGACAAUUGUUCAUUGUUCUAGGAAGGAGGCUCUCGGUUGUUGCUGCUGAAACUGACGCGAAUGAAGGUACCUGUUGCUUUUUUUUUUUUUCUUUUUACAUAGUUUGGUUCUUUUUUUUUUUCUUUUUUUAUGUUGACCGGUGGAAUACUUUGACUCUCGGCAGUUUAGAUAAUUUCGAGAAAUUUGCAGAAUCGAUUUAAUUGGAGCUGUCGUAUUUACAUUUUUCUUAUUUGUUUUGAUCAGUUAAAUCUAAGGCGUCAGAUAAAGCGCCGGCAGGUGGUGGUUCGAGCUUCAACCAGCUUCUUGGAAUUAAAGGCGCUGCGCAAGAAACUGUGAGUUACCUUCAUGUUCUCAGCUUGUUUUUUAGGAAGAUUUGAAUGUAAGUCCUUAAUAAAUUCUUCAUGUGCACUUUAUGCAGAAUAAAUGGAAGAUUCGACUUCAAUUGACAAAGCCUGUUACAUGGCCGCCCUUGGUUUGGGGGGUAGUUUGUGGUGCUGCUGCUUCUGGUACUCAUUUUGUACAUACUGAGACACUAAAAUUGCAUAUGAAAAGUUGUUGAUGAACUACUAACACGUAUUACUAUCAACUUACUUCCUAGUCAUGAUGAAAAUUAGCGAGUUCUUCUCUUUUCAGAACUUUAAAAUCUAUUCUCGUGUUGUGUAUUGUAUGGUCAAAUGCAUCAGAUGGUGGUCAAAUGAUUGAUUACGCAUAUAGAUCAAAUGGGGACAGUACUAACUGAUCUUUAUUAUGCUUUAUUGAUUAGUUUCCCCAUCGAACUAUUGAAUAUGGCUUCAACGAUACAUUAUUUUUUUACAGGUAACUUCCAUUGGACUAUUGAGGAUGUGGCAAAAUCAAUUGCUUGCAUGCUUAUGUCUGGUCCAUUUCUCACUGGCUAUACGCAGGUGAGCUCUCUUUGAUGUAAAGCUUUCCUAUGACUCAUGAAAGUAUUCAAGCACAAAUAAGAUAGACACGGUACUUUGGUUUUUUAGACAAUCAAUGAUUGGUAUGAUCGAGAGAUUGAUGCAAUUAAUGAACCUUAUCGUCCAAUCCCUUCUGGUGCAAUAUCUGAGAAUGAGGUAUGAGUAAACCACUUGAUAUCCAUUGACAGAGGCAUAUAUGGUCCUUCCUUACCGGUUUCUUCCUUUCACAUAUUUGAUCAGGUUAUAACUCAAAUAUGGGUGUUGCUUCUAGGAGGACUUGGCUUGGCUGGUUUGUUAGAUGUGUGGGUAGGUUCAUAGAAUUUGUGGAACUCGUCUUUCAUGUCGACUGUUUUUCUUAAACUUCGUCCUUAUUCUUCUCAGGCAGGACACGACUUUCCUACAGUCUUUUACCUUGCUCUAGGUGGCUCUUUGUUAUCAUAUAUAUACUCUGCUCCACCUCUAAAGGUAACAAACAAAAGUUUAGUGUUUCUAAAUUGGAUCUUCUGGAUGCUAAGAACAUUUAUUUUGUGGUUGCAGCUAAAACAAAAUGGAUGGAUUGGAAAUUUUGCGCUUGGAGCUAGUUAUAUUAGUUUACCAUGGUGAGAAAUCCUGUGAUCUGUAGUUAUAGGUAAAUUGACAUGCAUUGUGAAGGAUAAAGUCAAUCAACCAUUUCAAUCUGUAAUUGACUGGUUGAUGAAGUCGAUUGUGUUUCAUAUGAAAAUUUGAAAACUUUCUUUGUGUUUAGUUUGCUUCAUCUGAAGUCAAUUUUCUUCUUUGUAGUGUUCACUCAUUUUUUGAAUUCCCUCCUACUUUUGAGCAUAUUGUUAUCCCAGAUAAAAGCUGAUCGAAAGAUGUAUCCUGUGUAUUGACCAUGAAAUCUAUUUGCCAUGAUUAACACUACCCGCACAAAUUUAUUACUUAUCCGCUUAUAAUGCACUUUGAAUGGGGCCUCGAGUGUUGAACUCAAGUCCUAUAUAUGGAACCAUCAAUCGAUGGCUAGUUUGCCCUUUGCGGCUAUCGGCAAUUUCUUUUCUGUGUAAAGUUUAUUGGAUUGUUCCAGGCUCCACAUUAAUCAUACUUAUCACAAAUUUCUCAUUCUUUAUAAUGCGAUAAGUUUGCCUUUUCCAGUAACAGCCAAUUUUCAAUCUCAGGUGGGCAGGUCAAGCUUUAUUUGGGACUCUCACUCCUGAUAUUAUCGUUCUCACACUCUUGUACAGCAUAGCUGGUGUAUGCUUCUCAAUUUAUUUUUGAGUUCCUAACUUCAAAAAAUCCAAUCCUAAUCCGACUUCUGCUUUGUCUUAAUCAGUUAGGAAUAGCCAUAGUAAAUGAUUUCAAAAGUGUUGAGGGCGAUAGAGCUUUAGGACUUCAGGUAUUUCAUUCUAAAACACACUUUUUGAUUACGUUAAAUUAGUUUAGGCCUUAUCAGGUUGUUUUUAUUCUGUUAUUCUAUAGUCAUCUUUUGUUAUUUACUGCCCUUACAGUCACUUCCAGUAGCUUUUGGUGCUGAAACUGCUAAAUGGAUUUGCGUUGGGGCUAUUGACAUAACUCAAUUAUCUGUUGCUGGUAAUUCAUUUAGUACUUUUUAUUCCUAAGGGAUUCUCUCUUUAGAACAAUGCGCAAGUUUAAAGCACACUAUAUCAUUUUCUGAUUGUACCGAGAAAAUAAAAAUACAAGUUGCUCGUUUCUUGGCUUCUGCCUUUCUGUAAUAUACAUUUUGAAGGUUCUUCACUUGUUUGGGCUUCAUCUUUUUGUACAUGCAUCAGUUCAAAUAAUCUUGUAACAAUUGUAUCCUAUCAUCCAAUAUCCGUACAUCUACAAGAUAUGUCUUCAACUCUCAACGAAGCAGUUAACUGAUAAGGACAAAUGUCCCAAAAGUUUGUAUGCAACAAAGAAAAUAUGUUAGGAUACUAACAAUAAUUUAGACUGAAAGGACUGUAUAAAUGGCUUAAACAGAGGCGGUACUCUGGUUUACUUUAUUUAUAUAUAAAGCCAAAUGAUCCAGAUUCACAAGAUGAAAAGAAAUAACAAGAAACAACAAGGAAAAAUGCAGAAAAGAUCAUACCAGCCUCUUGGUUUUAAGAGACCCUGGUGGCUGCUGUAGCCCUACCUCCUAAAAGUUAAAAAUACCCUAGCUACUCCAACCUAAUAAUCCUAUUUAUAGACUCACAUAUUCCUCAGCCCAGUGGGCCCUACCACUCAGAACGUCCUUCCAAUCAUUUCUCCAUAAUAAUUCCCUGUGCAGUUACUUUUCUACCCUUCCUCCUAUAAGUAUGGAUAAUUGGGGGUCUUACAAAAUAUUAAACAUUUGGCAUUCUGAUUGUUGGAAGGAAGAAUUGGUCGGUCUAUCCUUCGGUUCUCUUGCAAAAUAAUUCCUGUAUCUCAAUCAGAAAGAUGGCGUUCUUCGGCUAAAGUUCCAAAAACAUUUCUCUUAGCUUACUUCUAUGAACUUGCAUUAUUGUAGGAGACCACUUAUGGGACUUUGAUACUAAAAGCUAAAACUAUUAUCUUGCCAUGUUAGAUCAAAAGAAUUCUUAUUUGUUUGCAAUGUAGAUUGAGAAAUCACAAGCACUAUUAUAAAGUAUAAUGUAGAUGCAAGAGUUUGAUUUGGAAUUGGUUAAAGACUGUUCCCUUUAAUAUAUUUGAAAUGAAUGUGACUACUAAUAAUGUUCACUUAUUGCAGGUUAUCUGUUGGGAGCCGGCAAGCCGUAUUACGCAUUAGCACUGCUCGCUCUUAUUGGUCCCCAAGUUUUCUUCCAGGUAAAUACUUUAAAGAAUUGUCAUAUGGUCAGUCUUCUCUUGAGUAGGCAGGCGCUACUGAAAACUGAACAUAGUUAAGUACAACCUUACGUACUAUGUACAAAGGAACAUUCAGUAUAGUGAGCCCUAUAUAAUUUAGCAACUUAAAACAAAAGUAUGCGUGUCAGAAUGAUAACACUUUUUAAUAUGCAAGUCAGGUUACUAGUCUUUGCAAUAACGACAGGAUCGGAUCAACGGUAUAGUAAUGUGAGGUCUUAUUAUUUGUCGUUGCAAAUUCCGUUAGCGAUCUGGUCAACCAUGCAGUAAUUUGAGGUCUUAUUUCCAAUUGAAUAUUUGAUGCCGCUCGCUCUCUAUAUAUAUGUAAUUAUAAUUGGAUGGAUGUAAUUAUAAUUGGAUGGAUGUGUAUGCUUCGAUAAUCAGGCCUUAGCUGUACUUCCCUUUUAGUUGGAAAAAAAAACAUGAAUACUCUACUAAUCCAUAUUAUCAUAAUUCUUAAUAGUUCAAGUACUUCCUCAAGGACCCCGUCAAGUAUGAUGUCAAAUAUCAGGUACUCAAAUUCUUUCUCAAGGUGUAGAUUUACAUUUAUAGAAACUAGAGCUGUGAUGAAACAUUGAAACAUUAAAGUUCCCCAAGAAAUCAAAAGCCCAUGUCGACGCCAGACUGGCAAAUUUUGGGACACAAUUAUUCCACCUUAUGUUUGCAAUAACAUUUCAGGCCAGUGCGCAGCCAUUUCUUGUGCUAGGUCUGUUGGUCACUGCUUUAGCAACCAGCCACUGAACCCAACAUUGGAGAGAAUUAAGCGCACACCUAUGAAGCAUGCGAGACAAAUGCAAGGCCAGAGAAAGCAGGAAGCCAAGUCUUGUCACUCCCCCCCGACAGCAACUGGCUCAAUUCAGGUUAAAUUUUACCUUGUUUGGUAACAGCAGGUUUUGGAUUUCUACCAACAUGUUUCAAAGCUUUGAUUUAGGAUUGUAUCACUAUCAGUUCUUAGGUUAGGUUUGGUCUCCUAUUACACGUCAGUUCCUACCAUUGAUGUCUUCUUACUCCGGGAUGCAAUAGGUUCAUAAUGCAUACCUCUUAUUCCAUACAACCAACCAACCCUGUUUUGCUUGAGACAUUUACUCAUUUUGGGAAUGUUUCAUUUUAACCAUCCUCAAUAAAGAUAUGCAUAUCCAUAUCCCUUAUGUUUAGCCAUAUGUGGCAUUUGUAGGCAGAUACACUAGAAAAAGACCGACUUUAACUGCUCACUCAAGGCAGAAACAUCGAUAUACAGACCUGAAGUAGGCUAUAAAGCCUUGAAAUACAAUUAUUUAUUCUAGACACUUUUAGGGAAAGUAGAAACUAAAAAAACAAAAAAAAGAAACUAAAGAUGAAAAUGGAACAUAGAAGUUUAGAUUGAAGACACAUUGUGAAAGGGUGGUUUUUGUAUUUUUUAUUUAUUCCUGAACUUGGAUUCGUCAAUCUCAACACCUUCCUCAGCAGCACGUUCUCCUCCAGACAUACCUGUGUUGCUUAGCCCUCCUUUACGGCCCAUCUCUUGGUAUCCUUCGUGUCCCAGCUGCUCCUUCCUUGUUUGGCCCCCACGGCUCCGCCCUGCCAUCACCAUUCACAAUCAAACUAUCACUACUUUAGUCUUUAGUAUUGUUAUGAAUGAGUCGCUACUUCUCACUUUAGUGGUUGGAAUGAGUUUGAAAAGUAGAAGUUAUCACGAACUCGAUUUAACUGCAUUUUUGUUAAACAGGAUCUUGAACUUUCAAGAAAAAGAUGGUCUUGAACUUAUAACUUAUAGCAAGUCUAAAAACGGUUCAGUUUUUUGUUCCAAACAUUUUAAAAUGUGUUAUGGAUUUUUUAAUAAAAUUUUAUAGGGUAUACAGACACAUAUAUGAACAUAAAAUCAUAGUCUUAUUAUAACAUCUAGCUGACUCAUUAAAGACGUGAACUUAACAGCCAAGGUUGGAUGGAGGUGACUUAUAAGAUACAAAAUUAAAAGUUAAAUAACUAUUAGUUUAAACCGAGACAAAAAUCAAAUUCAAUAACAAUUGAAUUGAGUCCAUGAACUAACUCAAUCUCUAUUGUGUAAAUUAUAAUGAAAAACCAAAGAAAUCUUAUAAGAACUACGGAGACAUAAUAUUGACAAUAUUUGGUAAAAGUUAGUUAAAUUGUCAAAGUAUUAGAUUAACAAAAAACCAAGUUUGAAAAGUGGACAAGUGGGGAGGGCACACCUUCAGCAAGGUGCUCCUGAGCUUCAAGACUUUUGCCUCCGGUUCCACCGGGGAUGACAGUCUCCCCUUGCCUGGCCCUGGCGUCGAGUUUACCUCUUUCCUGCUCCGACGACAUCUCUUUUCCAAAUACUUAAGCUUUGACCAACAGAAUAUUCAAAUUUCUAUAUCCAUUUCUUCUUGUCCUUUUGGUUUAAAUAGAAUUUUACCACUCUUACCUCCCAGAAAGAAGGCAAAAAUGGACACUCUGGACUGUCUACGUGGCUGAUAGCGAAUUGUAGAACAUUCUCUGCCUGACACGUAGGUGCUUACUCAGUCAAAAUAUUUCUUCUAGUCUCCUUUUCGAUGACACGUGUUAAGAAAAAAGCGGUCCUAAAAUCCUACAUGCCCAUCCGCUUCGUACUACGAUAAGGUAUAAAAAUUUCGUACUUGUGGAUUUUAGAUUUUAGUGUGAAGUAUACGAAGAGAAAUGGUAUGGAUGUUUCCGUACUAAAAAUUGUCAAUUUUGUCCUCGAUUGAUAAUUAUUCUUAUAAGUCUGUUUAACUACACUUUUGUUUGAAUAUGAUGCCACAAAUCUAUAUGAUUGUGACUAUAUCUUGUUUGAAAUAAAACAUUAUAUAUCUGAUUUAAAAUAAAACAUUAUUUAAUAUGUUUUAAUUGGAUAUAAAUUAAUAUUAAAAUAAAAAAAUUGAUAAUGUAAAGAAGGCAUCGUCAUGUGUCGUCCCACUAGUCCCUACACGAAUCUGUCAGUGAAUAUAAGGUCUUUUAUAAGAAAAUUACUCGGAUGCGUAUGAUCAAUUAAUUACGUAUUGAUUGAAAUAUUUUUGUCUUUCAUACGGUAGUCAUCUAAGCUUUUCUUUUCUUAAACUAUUGCAUGGGUAAAUACUUAUGGAUUUGUUAUAUUUAAAAAAAAAAAACCCUUUUUUUUGUAGUUGAUUAAUAUAAAAUUAACUUAAAUUUCAGUCAAACACAAAUAUUAAAUAAAAACACCUAUCAAUUAAAGAAAAAAUGGUUUUAGCAAAAGAAAAAAAAACGAUUUGAUAGAAAUGAUUUUGACUUUUUUAACUCUUAGGGUGUGUUUGAAGGAAGGGUUAGGUUAUGGAGGAUUAAUGUCAUGAUAAAACUAGUUUUAUGAUAAACCUAAUGUUAUAAUAAUAUAUGUUUAGAGGAAAAGUCAUGUAUGAAGGGUUAUGGGGUGGUCAUGAUAAGAUGUGUUUGGAGAAGAGUCAUACAGGGAGUGUUAUGAAAUUUAUUUUUUAUACAUUUUUCUAAAAUUUGUAUUCUAAAUCCAACACAAAUUUUGUAUAUUUAAUUUACCAAAUUAUCUUAUUUUUGUAAAAUAAUUUUCAUUAUUUUUUCAAAUGUGACGCCUAUUUUUAACAUUUUUUUUUAUGUAACUAUUAUAUGAGAAUAAUUUAUUGAUUUUUUAAAAGAACUUUGUAUUAUAAAUCCAAUACACAGAUUUCGUAUAAUUAAUUUUUUAAAAUGUUUAUUUUCGUAAAACAUUUUUCAAUCAUUUUUUUUAAAAAUAUGACGUCAAUUUUUAAUUUUUGGACGUAAUUGUUAGGUGCAAAUAAAUUAUUAUUUUUUUAAAAAAAUGAUAUUCUAACUCCAAUACAUAAAUUUUGUAUAUUUAAUUUAUCAAAUCGUCAUGGUUUCGCAAAACAAUUUGCCUUAAUUUCUUUAAAUUCAACAUGAAAUUUUCAACAUUUUUUAAGUAAUCGGUUGAAUAAAUCACUGUUUUUCCUUUUAAAGAUAAAACAAUCUUAGUUUUCUUCUUACCUAAAUAUUAUGUUUUUUUUCUCUUUUUAAAUGACUCAAUAUUUAGUUUUUCCAUGGAACAACAAAAAGGAUAAAAAAAUUAUAAUGAACCAAUAAAAGAUAUAAAAAUAAGAAAGAAGAAAGUGAAAAAAAACUUACAUUUUAGAAAGUAUAAGCAUAAUUUAGUAAAAAAUUUAAAUCCAAAUAAAUUUUAAAUCAAAUCUCGCCAUUAAAUUAAUUUUUUAAAAGAAAAUUCUUAUACAUUUAAAAUCUAAAUACUUAAAAAAUAUAUAAUAUAUACAUAUAUUUGUUAUACAUGUUUAGGUUAUUUAAGAAUUCAAAACUUAUUUCAUUUAACAUUAAAUCGUUUUAUUGUUUUUGUUUUGAUUUUUAACAUUAAAUAGUUUUAUUAUUUUUGUUUUGAUUUUUUAUGAAUUUUAUUGAUAAAAUAUUUGAAAAGUGAAAAAUGAAUAAAAGAAGAAAAAAUAAAUAAAAGACAUGAAAUAAUAAAAUUAAAAAAAAGUCAGUUAAAUAUAAGGCUAAUGCGUAAACUAAUAAUUAUUAAAAUUAAUUUCAAAAAUAAAAUAAAUUAAAAAUAAUAUUCAUUUAAAAUUAUUAAAUUAAUUAAAAAUUGAAAAAUAAGAGAGUAAUUUUUUUAAAAAAAUAAAAUCAUAAUUUUUUUUUAAAAUAAUAAAACUACGGGAGUUGAAAAUAUAAGAUUAUGGAGAGUUGAAAAUGUAGGUUUAUGGACAUGGAUGGAUCUAUUAAGGGGCCAUGGGGCACGUGCCCUUCACAUAUUCGAUUUUUGUAUUUUAAUAUUAGUUUUGAAGUGUUAAAUUACAAUUACAAUAUAUAUUAAAUUAUGCGCUCUCUACGCUAUAUUCUGCCUUUGAUACAGUAGUCCUUCUUUGGAUACGUCAAUGUUUAUAGAGAGGUGAAGAGAGAUUGAGAAAGAGUGAGAUGGAUGAGGGGUUAUGAUAAACCUAAAACAAGAGUUAUAAUGACUUUUCCCCAUACAAAGUACGGUUAUGAUAACCGUGGAGUUACCAUUGUCUUAACCAAUGAAUACGUCACUGUUUAUAGAGAGUUGAAGAGAGGUUAAGAAAGAGAUAAAUGAUAAACCUAAUACGUCACUGUUUAUAAAGAGUUGAAGAGAGAUUAGAAAGAAAAAUGGAUGAUAAACCUAGAACAAGAGUUAUAAUGACAUUUCCCCAAACAAGAUUUUCCCAAACAAGAUACGAUUUAUCUAGAAUAAGAGUUAUAAUGACCUUUCUCCAUAGAUAUGAUUUAUAAAGAGUCGAAGAGAGGUUGAGAAAGAGAAAUGUUGAUAAGACCUUUUCCUAAACAGGAUAUGCUGAAAAAAGACGUGGAGUUACCAAAAGACGUGGAGUUACCAUAGCCCUAACCAAUAAUGAUAAGUUAGCAUAGUUCUAACUAGCCCUAACCAAUAAUGAGUGAAAAAAGACGUGGAGUUACCAUAGCCCUAACCAAUAAUGAUAACGGUAACUUAUCCCUAACUAACACUACCCCUUGUAUUUUGAAAUAUGUAAUAAUUUAAUCACUAAUGCGAGAUUAAAAAAUUUCUCUAAAACAUGGUAAGAACUAAUGCGAGAUUAAAAAAUUUAACAUGGUAAGAAAUUUCAUUAAAAUGAAAGUUCCAUUGGUAUCUAUAAAACUCAAUUUAAUGAAGCGAACCAUUGGUAUCUAUAAAAUUCAAUUAAAUGAAGCGAACCAAUUAUAUUUAUUCUGCCAUAGGUAUGGUGUUGAUAUAAUAGUCUAACUUUACAUUUUCAUUUUGAUUCUAAACUGGGUUGGAAAUGUCUCCCGAAUUUAUUUUAAACAAACCAUCCAAAAAUAUUCUCCAUAUAACUUCUCGUAGGAUCCCAAAGAUCUUUCAUCAUUGAGGACUUCCCUCCUUUUGCAUUCUCUAUUUUGUGUUCUUUAUAAAUAACUAAUUUUAGUCUCGUAGUCAAUUAGAAUCUUAAUAUGUACAUUUCACAUAUACACUCUUUUAAUUAAUUAAACUCAUGCAAAUCUAUAUAUACUAUGUAUUUUGAAAGGAUAGUAGACUUGACUGAUACGUCCAUGUCUUUUAUUUAUGAAGUAUCCGUAUAUUUCAGAACAUGCAUGCAAACAUUUCAGUUUUCAGAACAGUCCAUGUCAAAACUAAACCAAACUCUAAAGAGAUGGGAAAGCAAACGGUAAAAUAAGAAGAAAAAAAAACAAAAGACGUACUAUUUGUUCACGUUUUCCAUUUAUAGCAAAAUUCAUCAAAAGUUUAAGUUCAGAACUUAAACCCUGAAAUACAACCACAGCACAUGUGGCCAAGGUAAAAGAAAAGAAAAGAAAAGAAAAAGCAUAGGAAAUAAAAUUACAAAGCAACCUUAUUACAUUACAUAAGACGAAACCACGAGAACAGACAACAUGCAUGCACAUGCAUGCAAACAUUACAUUAAGAUCAGCCCUAAGUUCAAAGGGCGAGUUUAACGGUUCUUGUUUGUGAACUUGGACUCAUCGAUCUCGAUUCCUUCCUCCUCCACCCGCUCGCCACCGGACUUGUCCAUUGUGCUCAGCCCUCCUUUCCGGCCCAUCUCUUUGUAGCCUUCUUGGCCCAUUUGCUCCCUUCUUGCCUCUCCCCCUUGAUGCCCUAGCUCUUGAUACCCUUCAUGCCCCAGUUGCUCUUUCCUUGUUUGCCCGCCUUUGCUCCGGCCUUCACCAUGAUAAAGCAAUUAAUAAACUCGAUCAUAUUAUAAACAAAAAUUUACACAUGUAGUACUAAAGCUCACAAAGGAACCUUCGGCUAGGCGUUCUUGAGCAUCAAGGCUUUUGCCACCAGUUCCACCAGGAACCACAGUCUCACCCUGCUUAGCCUUAGCGUCCAGCGCCGAUCUUUGCUGUUGCGAUGCCAUUUUUACUCUCUUUGUUUAUUAUAUAUUAUGCAGUAAUGUUGUUGGAAUAAUGUAAAGGAGCAAUCAGUUUAUAUAAAAAGCAAAUUUUGGAAAGAAAGAAAGAAACAAAGAGGGGUUUGUAAAAUGGACACAUAAUAAGGCUAACGCGGCAAAUUGGGGUGCAAUAUCAGCAAUUUCUUGAUGACACCUCAUUAACAUUGUCCUCUUCAUGUUUUCUACUGACACGUGUUUGUUUAACUCAUCCCAUCAUUUAGCAAAUAGCAAUACCGCAACCGCUAUUUAGUUUACACUGAGUUAUGAAUGUUGCCUUUUCUUUUUCUAUAUUGCUUCAAAUUUAGUAUUGCAUUGUUUGUAAGGGUCGGCUAAAACAACUUAACAGAUGAAAAAUAAGAAACAUAAAUUUUACUAAGAUUAUAUCAUAAAAAGCAGAAAGAGCACUGCUGAUGAUUUAGCUUAACUAAAUGAAACCCUUCUCAUAAACAAUCAUCAUAUGUUCAUUGCAUUUUUAUAUAAACUUGUUCACACCAGAUUUCCGGAGAAAUUUAAUUCGUGGAGUUGAACUUGGGUUAAAGUUGUAUUUUUGUGAACUUGGGUUAAAGUUGUAUUUUUGUUGAUUUGAUGCGAUGCGGUUCAAUCUCUAGAAUUUGAUCAUCUGGUUAUCUCUUGACUAGAUGCUUAUGCUUGAUUUGGAGGAAGCGAAGCACAUGAUGUUCUUGAAGUUUGUUGAACGUUUAUGCUUGAUUUGGAGAAGCGGAGCACGUGAUGUUUUUCAAAUUGGUUGAAUGUCUACGCUUGAUUUGAGAAAGCGGAGCACGUGAUGUUCUUGAAGUUGAAGUCUUGGAAGAAAGUUUGUGUCUACAAAUGGAAGAAAGUUUGUAUCUUCAAAUGAGCUUCAAUCUUCGAGGAUGGGGAAGAAAGUUUAUAUCUUCAAAGGAGCUUCAAUCUUCGAGGAUGGUCGACUUCAACACUUAGAGAGUCUUCUAGUUAUUGGAAGAAUUCUAUCUAGACUUUCUGAAAGUAAAAAAUUUCCAACCCUGCAAAUGAGGAGAAUUCAUCUAUUUAUAGAGUUCACUUAUAGGCUAUAUGGGCUUAAACCUGGUUGGUCCAUAAAUCAGACCUAAGUGUUCAAUUACAUGGAUUUAUGUUAUAUUUAGUAUUUGGGCUCAAUUAAGCUCAUUUUUGGGUUUAAUUGAACUUAGUCUAAGUAAAUAAUAUUUAAUUGAACCAAAAUGAUUAACUUUAUCCAACGAUUAAGAUCAAAAUAUGUGGCAUUAUUAGAAUGAUCAAUUUAUGUUUUUCAAUUCUUUAAUUUGGGGCACAUGUCAAUUUUAAUUAGUCAUAAAUUUAAUUAUUUGUACUUUUCAUCGUUAACUUAAUGAUGUGGCAAUUAGAUAAUUUGUGAUUAGUCUCAAAAUUUAUUAUUCAACAACGUCACAUGUAUAUAUUCUACUUAUGAGCAAAUAUACUUGAGCUACCUUAGCUUCAAGUAUACAUUAUUAUUUUCUUUCUAUCUUUUUUACUUUUGUCACUAUUUUUUUAUUAAAAAAUUUUUAGUCUUUUUAUUCUCUCUAAGAAAUAGAAAAAAAGAAUGAGGCAUAAGAAAAAUUUUCAUUUUUUAUUAUCGUAAUUUUAUUACUUUUUAAAACUUAUUAUUAUUAUUAUUAUUAUUAUUUAUAUCAUAACUGUUUCUUUUCUCUUUUUUACUUCGAACUUUUUUUCAAAUAACAUGAUUUUUAAAAGAUAUAUAAAAAAUAAGUUAGAUGUAGGUGGGUCCACAACUUCCACCUACUAAGCCCCACAAUAUUUACAUUUUUUCUUUAUUUUAUAUAUAUAUAUAUAUAUAUAUAUAUAUAUAUAUAUAUAUAUAUUAUUUAUUCUUUUUCAUUCUUUAUAUAUUAUUUAUGGGUCUCAUAUCUUCUUGUUUUCCUCCAAUUUUUUUUUUAUAUAUAUAUAUAUUAAUUUUUCCAAUACUAAAAAUAUGUUUCUCUAUUAAAUUAAUUUUUUCUUUUUCUCUGAAAAACCAACAAAUUACCUAGAAAAACAGAAGUGUGAAAUUUAUACGAAUGACCCAAACUCUAGAGAGCAAAUGAAAUUCGUUAAACUUUUGUUUUAAAAAUAAGGUAUAUUUUUUACCCUUCACCAAUGUGACAUUCGGGUGAAAAUACAAAAGAAAAAAAAAAAAAAAAACCGUGCACACAUAAAGCCCAUCUCUCUUUUUUUCCUCACUUACCAAAUUACUCUUCCCUUACUCUUAUUUUUCUCAUUCACAUAUCACUCUACAUUCUCAAAGGUGAAGCUAAUGUGUGAUUUUCAUCCAAGUUCUGGUCAUGUUAGGAAUGGCCAUAUACACCUUAAGCCUAAGGACCACAAAGGCACAUGGGAGUAGCACAUUUUCACUUGUCCGACAUUGAAAAAUUAAGGAUUGAAUAUAAUGUGCAUAUAUAUAAUAUAUGUGAGACCACUUGUGGGGACUUCCAAAAGUUGAUAGGGUGAGAGCAAGGGGCCUUUUUCCACACACAUGUCAUCGAAAUUGGUUUGCCCAAAGGUGGUCCGUGGGAGUAGGAGUAUUUUUGACAAUUUUGUCAAAGAUAUGCUAGUUGUAGAAGAUAAAUCAAUGGUUUUGACAAAUUCUCAAGAAUAGAAGCCACACAAAUAUAUUUUGUUAAUAUACUAAUAAUAAAAGUAUAUUAAAACGUUUUUAAGUUGGGGCAUUUUUAAAACUUUUCUAAUUAUUACUGUUUUUUUAGUUACAAUACUUUAUUUUUUGAAAGCCACCAUUUUGACACAAUUUUUUUUAAAAAAGUUUUUUUUUUUGUUUUUGUUCUUUGUUCUUUUGUUUUCUUUUUCUUUGGUUUUUUCUGUUGUUUUGGAGGUAAAGUGGAAGACGAAAACCCUAAACCCUAAUUAACAACCUCAAUGCCAUUCCUAUAUAAAUAAACGUGGCCAUAGAAGAAUGUAACCCAAAUUUCUUCUCUUCUUUAUACUUCGAAGCGUUAUUGCCUUUGUGGUUCUUAGCUUCUAAACUUCAUUUCUUCAUCCUAAAUCAUUUGCUUCACAUACCUGACGCUCACGAACAAAUGUCGUCGGACGAUGAAAGCGAGGAGAUGGAGUUGGAUCUCUCCUCUCCGGGUGUUGUUACAAAGUACAAAAAUGCUGCUGAGAUCAUAAACAGUCACUAAUCUUUGUCUUUCCAUUGCAUGUCUAAUUGAGCUCGCGGCAUAGUUACUCUUCAAUUUUUUGUUAUAUGAAUUAUGACAUUGUUCUUUGUAACACAACAUUCAUGCCGAGGCAUUGCAGCUGGUGAUAUCCCAAUGUAAACCAAAAGCAAAAAUCGUUGACAUUUGCGAAAUAGGCGAUUCCUUCACUUGAGAGUAGGUUUUAACAUUGGAACUUCUAAGUUUUUCCUCCUUUUGUUUUGAUCGUAUUUUUAGUAAUCUUUUUUUUGCUUGUGAAGGCAAACAGUAAACAUAUACAAGAAUGUUAAGAAGAAGAUGAAACAGUGAUGGAAGAAGGAGAUAUACUCAAGAUGUAACCAAAUUAUACAUUGACUGGUUGCUGUUUUCUUGUGGCGUGUUUAAUGACAGUUGAUUGAUGAUGGAUUUUUCUUACGGUAGUGAUAUGGGCUGCCAUAUUGAUGGGUUUAUCGCUGUAGUUCUUCACACUCAUGUUCUGCAAGAAGGUCCAGUGACUGGAAGGGCAGCCGAUGUCAUUGCAGCUGCUAACACUGCUGCUGAAGUUACCUUAAUGCUUGUUAGGCCUGGGAAAAAGGUAAUAGUUCUUUAUACUAUUAUUUGGAACAUUUGUCUUUCGAUUUAAUUUCCAUUGAUCAAUGUGCACUUACUAGAGAUUAUGUUGAUUAAUUGUUUGUACUCUAAACUACUUUUUUUAAGCAUGGUUAUAUUGUGUAUCUCAGUCAUUUUGGUGCUUAAGUUAGGAACUUUGUCUUAAGCUGUGGUUUAGCAUAGUGUGAAGUUUUUGUCAUGGCUAUUCUUAUAAGGAAUAAAUACUUCUAUAUGGUAGGGACUUUUUCGAAGUUACACUUGUAAAUAUGAAGUCUUGGCUAGUUAUUUUCAAUUUUUGAGUAUGACAUUGUUAACUUGUUUAUGUUCUGGAUCCCAUGUGUGUUUGUUUAUCAUAAUUUGUAGGAUUCAGUUCCUCUGUUUCAUGCUGGUAUUUGUUUAUCAGAAUUUAUUAGAUUCAUCCCCUCAAGUCCUUUCUUUUGAAUCGUCUCGUCUAACCCAUGGGGAAGAGAUUGAUCAAACAUUUUAAUGGCAACUUUGCCGAGGUGAUCAGUUAUUUGUUGAUUACCUCUUUUCCCUGUUGCCUAUAUUGAAUUUGGUCUUGAUUGGGUCCUUGUAGGUGGACAUACUGUGUAUGGCUGAUGCCUAUGGUCUCAGUGAUCUAUAUUUUUCAGAGAAUUUUUUUAGUGCUAGUAUUUAUGCAGUUUACGCUAUAACUCAAGUUUUGAUGUUCUAACAAUACUAAAAUUUAAUUUUCUUUCUUUGAUGAAGCUCUGAAAUAAAUCAAUGGUGGUGUAACCAUGUAGAAUUGAUCUUGCUUGAAACACAAUCCUUUUAUUUGUUUUUGCUCACCAUGUCAGUUGAUGUGUACUCACUCAGUAUUGUGAAGUUUUCUUAUUGAUCGAUGGUUGAAGUGAAAGCAAUAGAAAGUAUAUUCCCUAUAGAAAUUAAGUGUAUUGGAGCAAUUAUAAUACACAAAAUUAUAAGGAAACUUUGCUGAGAUGAUUUAUUACUUGUGGAUUGCCUUUUUUUCCCUGUUGCCUAUACUGUUUAUGGUCAAAGUUGGGAUAUCAUAGGCCUACUUUCAUGGAUGAUGUCUAUGGUCUAACUUGUCCAAAUCAAUAAAUUAUAAAUUGAAGUUUGUUUGUUGAUGGUUGAAGUGAAGGCAUUUGGUAGUAUAUUCCCUGUAGCAUUAAAGUUAACUGAAGCAACUGAAAUGUACUGAAUUACAAGGCAACUUUGCCGAGGUGAUUUAUGAAUUGUGGAUUGCCUCUUUUCCCUGUUGCCUAUACUGUGUACGGUCAAAGUUGGGAUAUCAUAGGCUGAUUUUCAUGAAUGAUGUCUAUGAUCUCACUUGUCCAAAUCGAUAAAAUAUAAAUUGAAGUUUGUUUAUUGAUGGUUUAAGUGAAGGCAUUCAGAAGUAUAUUCCCUAUGGCAUUAAAGUUAAAUGAUGCAACUAAAAUAUACUGACUUAUUGGCAACUUUGCCGAGGUGAUUUAUGACUUGUGGAUUGCCUCUUUUCCCUGUUGCCUAUAUUGUGUAUGGUCAAAGUUGGGAUGCCGUAGACUGACUUUCUUGGAUGAUGUCUAUGUUCUCACUUGUCCAAAUUAAUAAGUUAUUCAUGACUAUCUGUUGUGGUCUUGCGAUAUUGUUAAAUAAUCCAUUUCUCAUAACUGGAUAAUGAAGGCUACUUUGCCGAGGUGAUUUGUGACUUGUGGGUUACCUCUUUUCCCUGUUGCCUAUAAUUGUGUACGGUUAAUUUGGGAUAUCAUAAGAUGACAUUUCAUGGAUGAUGUCUGGUCUCAAUUGCCCAAAUUAUAAUACAAAAUAUGUUGUCAUGAUAAUCUUAGUGAUAUCUAAUGAUAGUGGCUAGAGUUUACAUUAUCAACAAUCCAUUUUCUCAUAACCAGAUAACAAAGGCAACUUUGCCGAGGUGAUUUGUGACUUUGUGAAUUGCCUCUUUUCCCUGUUGCCUAUAAUGUGAUCGGUCAAAUUUGGUAUAUCAUAUUCAUGGCUGACUUUCCAUGGAUGAUGUCAGUCUCUAACCUCAUUUGUCCAAAUUGUUGUAAGGUAAUAUACAUCCUGAUGAUAUACUCAUGUGAUGUUUUAUAAUAGUGAACAGGGUUUAUACUAUUAAACAAUAAUUUUGUUAGUGCUUAAAAUAUUGUGUACAUAUUCGUUUUCUUUUAUUCCUUCAAUUUUGUGCUCACAACUCCUCAUUUUUGGCAAAUGGUAGUUGUUUCUUAUGUAUUCUAUCUCUGCAUUGUUGCUUAAGAGCCCUACAUGAUGAAAACUUUAUUAAAGCUAUGGAAUUUGUUCCAAAUGAGGCUUUUGUCAUAGUUACUCUGAUGGGGCAUGUUACUUUUUCAGAUAGUCUUGUUUUUUUUCCAUCAUUAUUGGCAUAAUAAGUCAGUGUAAUAUUGUUAGUCAUGAUUAGUACAUAAUUGGAUGUUUUACGGUUACAAAAUCCUAAUCACGGGUUUCUUUUGUUUUUUCCCCUUCUUUUAUCCUCUGAAUUCUUGAUGAUUUCUUUUUGGAAGUUUCUAUUAAUUAAAUCCUCUUGACUUCAGAAUAAAGAUGUAACAGAAGCCAUCCAAAAGGUUGCAGCUGCUUAUGAUUGCAAAGUUGUUGAAAGGGGUUCUUAGCCACCAGUUGAAGCAAUUUGUGAUUGAUGGAAACAAGGUUAUUCUUAGUGUUUCGAAUCCAGAAACAAGAGUCGAUGAUGCCGAGUUUGAAGAGAAUGAAAUUUAUGCAAUAGACAUAGUUACAAGUACGGGUGAAGGCAAGGUAAUAAGGCCUUUAAGCUGAAUAACCACUGUGACUUGAUUAAUUCUUUUUUUUCUAAAUCAUUCAAUACCAAUUGUUUUUGAACAAUGCAGCCUAAGUUGUUGGAUGAGAAGCAGACGACUAUAUAUAAGAGAGCUAUGGACAAGAGCUAUCACUUGAAGAUGAAAGCAUGUAGGUUAUUUUCAGUGAAAUAAGUAAGAAAUUUCCUGUUCUGCCUUUCACUGCUAGGUUGGUUGUGUUUCGACAAUGAAUUUUUUCGGGAGGCAUUUGCUUGCAAUUCUGAGGCACAGGUUUAGCAACUUAAUAGGGCUUUGGAAGAGAAAAGAGCUAGGCUGGGACUAGUCGAAUGUGUCAAUCGUGAUCUAUUACAACCGUAUCCCAUCCUCCAUGUGUUAAUUGUGAUCUAUUGCAACCAAGUUUUCUGGAUGAAUUUCAGGUAAGAAAGGCGACAACAAACUCAACAAUUCAACAGAGGUUGAGCCAAUGGAUUCGACAAGAACUGUGGGUGCAUCACAGGAAUGAGCUCUACCCCAUUUGGUCUCAUGGUCCUUUCAACCCAUCAUUUCAAUUUUGGCACUGUUUCCUUCCUUUUCUUGUAUGUUUGAUUGACUAGCCUUCAUGAGUAUGUUCUCUUUGACAUAAAAAAGAAUAACAUUUUUUUUUUAUUACUUCCCUCUCAUCUACAUAUUUUUAUUGGCAAAGUAUACAAUUUAGCUCGAUAAACAUGUCUACUUAUAAUAUUAUUCUAAAAGGGAAUUUUGAUACUUCAUUAAGAAACUUGUAUACUGUGGGAAAAUGAAUGAUUGUGAAUUGCUUACCUCAAAGUUGUGUUCUUUUCUGCAAUGAGUGUAAAUCUAGUUCUUAAAAUAAAAUAAAGGGUUCUUAACUAGGAUGACAUAAAAUAGUAUACUAUAUUCCAAUAUUAUUGAUCUAAAAUUUUUCAUUGAUUAAAAAGGAAAGUGAUCAUAAUUAAGAUUUGCAUAUUUAGUAGAUAUUAUAUAAGUACGGUAAUUGAUUAAUUUUAUUUUUUUUAGUGAUUUUGUUUAAGAUUUCUUUCCUAUCUCUAGUAUAUGUAACGUUGAGAACAGAAUAUGUUUGCGAUAGAAAUUUUUUUAUGAAAAAAUUGAAAAUAGAGAAAUUGUAUUGAAAAAACUGGUUUUGGAAUAGUAUAUACGAAAUAAUACAUUAAAUAGUAUAUAUAAAAUAUAUGUAUUAUGGUAAUAUAUAUGUAAUAAUUAAAAUAUAUGUAUUAUGUUAGUAUAUAUGUAAUAAUUAAAAAAGAUGUUACAUAAUAUGUGAUGAUAUAUAAAUUCAGUAAAAAAAAAUUAUAAUAUGUGUUAUAUAAAUUCAGUAAAAAAAAAUUCAUUACUAAAAAAAGAAAUUGUGGAUGUAUUAUCGAAUAUAUCUCGUAUAUAUAAAAUAUAAUCCAAAACAUAAAUGUAUUAUUCAGUAGCAUACGUGUAAAGAAAAAAAAAUGGAUAUAUAACCUUUGAAUAGGGUGGUAUAUCGAACAUGGUAUGAUAUAUAAUCAGUGUAUGAAGUGGUAUAUCGAAUAUGGUAUGAAGAUGAACUGAAAAAUAUAAAAAUAAACAAAAUAGAAGGAACAUGACCGAAAUAUAUGCAGUCGUUGGAAAAAAAGUCUGAAAAAAUGAAAUGUUGAAGUCGUUGUCGGUGACUGAUUUCAUUUUGAAGUCGUUGUCGGUGACUGAUUUCAUUUUGAAGUCGUUGUCGGCGACCGACGAAUAGAAGCACUAAGAUUAUUAACGUGAUGUGGAUAAUAUUAUAUACGGUUAUACUUAAUUAUUAAAUUAUUCGUAUUAUAAAAGAUUUUGUUUUACCCUUAAUUAAAAAACUAUUUCUAAUUUAUUUCUAUAAGAAAAUUAGAUAUUUAUAACAAAGUUAGAUAUUAAUUAAAUGUGAAUAAGAAAGUUAUUAUUUUAUAAUGUGAAUAUAAAAAUAAUUUAAAUUUAGUUUAAAAAAUUAUAUAUAAUUAAUAAUAAUAUGGUUAUAGUUGUUAAAAAAAUAUAUAGGAAAUUCUAAUAAAAAUAAAUUUUAGUUUAAGAUAUUUGUAAAAUUCUAUAUCAAGUCAGGUGAUUCGUCUCAUUUUUACUAAAAUAAAUGUUAAGAGAGCAAACCACAAAUUUUAGAAAAUAAGAAGUCAAACGAUAUUAUCAGAUGGAGGGUAAUAAUAUUAAAAAUUAAAAUUAGAACUUUGGAAAAUUAAUAAUGAAAAUUAUGACUUCGAAUCAAAUGCAGGAUAAUUACAUAUGUCUGUUUGAGUGUAGAAAAUCUAAAUUAGAUAUUUAUGACAAGGUUGGAACUUGAAUUUAUCAAUUUUCAUGAUAAUAAUUUUUUUUAAUAUUUAAUAACAGUAAUUUUGAUUACAAAAAACUUAGUAUUUUAGGAUAAUUUUAACCUUUAUUUAAUUAUUUAAAAAUAAUUAGUUUUGAAAAUCUUAAACAAUAUUUUUCUCAUUAUCAACAACCAAAUUUAUUAUAUUAAUUAUAACUUCUUUAAUUAUUAAUUCAUAUAUAUUUGUAUUUAUUAAUGUAUAUUUCCGCGUUGGAUUUCAUUUUCAAUCCCUAUACAAAUCGGUUUUUAUUCUUUCUUCUUCCCUUCCUAUUCGAUGAUUUUGAAUCGAUUAGUCUUUAUAUUUUUUCAUUUUUUUGGAACUUCUUAUAUUAUUUACUGUUAGUCUUUAUUUUUUUCGUUCAUUUGUCACAUAUUUGUGAGAAUUUAACUGUUUUGUUAAAAUUAUUUUGGUAGCAGUGAUUUAAGUUAAUUAUUUUAUAUAUUUUUUUCAAAAACUAAGAGGAGAAAAAAUUAUGGUGGUAAUCCAGAGAAUUUUGUGGAGAUAGAAAAUGAAAUAAGGAGGAGGAUGAAGAUGUGGAUGAUGAUACAGAAUUCAUCCCGGACCUCAUAAUUUCUUUAAUGUGAUGUUAUGCUAAUUUCUUUAAUGUGAGAAUUUCGACUUGAACUCAACUUCAAUAGAAGUCGGGAAUAAUAGAAAGAAGCUUGGAUUGGUUGAUUCAAUUAAAAAAGGGUGAAAAUUAACUAAAUUAUCUUUUUUAUUAUGAAUGUUUGAGUUUAAUGUCUAUUUCGAAAAUUCAUUUUAAAUGGUCCCUAAGAGUUCAUCGACCAAAAUAGAAGUUAGCGUUGUUGCCGUGUGUUACAAGUAAUUAGAAAAGAAAUCGUAUAUUUCCUCUCCUUAAACCUCACUUUCACUUCGUCUUCAUUUUUCUGGCAUUUUCUUUACUCUCUGCACAACCACACACCCCUCCUACCAGCCAAUUUUGAUCAAUAUAAAUUAUUCAAAUAAUACAAAUGUGAAACAUACUCUAAUUUUUACAACUCCAACUUCAUAUUGACAUAAACUAACCAGUCCUUAACUGCUUAUUAUUGAAACAAAAUUACAGAACCAAAUUACAUGAUAUUACUUAGAAAGGAUCAGAUGAUCGUUGUUUCUGAUUUCGUUUUCAUUCUUCCCAACCAAUGUCUCAUCCAAUUUUUUUCAUUUAUCCACCAGGCUACCAUAACUAUUUUGUAUUUGGUAACAAUAUUUCAAGUGCUUGGGCAUAUUCAACCCUUUGUUGAGAAAACAACAAACCCAUCUCUUUCAUAUCCCUCUGGGUUCGAAAACAUGCCACAAUAUAGUGGAAGACUUGAAUUUUUCUUUUACUUUUUGGCUUCUCUCAGUGGCGUCUUCUGAAAAAUGGGUUCAUUGCUAUUCUUAAAAACUUAAGAUUUUUUUCUUCUUUUUAGAAAAAUGAAGAAUAUUAAAAGAGUGCCCACGGCCAAAUGAGAUAAAGAGACCUGAGAUUGGUUCCUCCCCAAGUUAGUUUUAGUUCUAGAACUAGAGGACCAUAAACAAAGGAGUGAAAAUGAAGAAGAAAGUAUGGAGCUCUAUAUCAUAUUUUCUUAUUAAACACUUUUGGAUAAAAUUACGUAAAAGUUAAUAUUGAACUUACCAAAAAAAUUUUUGUGAUUGAGACAACAAAUUUUCUUUUAGUGAGCAUAAGUUGUUUGGCAUUAUGCUUUUGGUGUAUUAUUUCUUUGUCGUAUUACUUAUUUUCUUCAUAGUUUAAUAAUCCUCUCUUGGUAUGUUCUCUUUCAUUUUAAAAUUAUUUUGGUAUCUCUGACAAAUAUUUAUAUGAUUCGAUGGGACAAAUAAAUCUCAAUAAUAUAAAAAAUGAUUUCCUUUUUAAACUAAGUUUUUGAGACCCAAUCAAUGAUUUUUUAAAAUUUAUUUUUAUAAACGGUCGUUGUAUUCUAAAAAAACCAUGUUAAGUUUCAAAAACUGAAAGUAAUUUGCACAAAUUUGUUUUUGGGUUUAGAAUCUGAGAAUUCAAAUAUUUAUUUUACAAAGAUAAAAAAUUUAGUUAAAAAGAAUGGGAAUAACAAGAAUAUAUUUAAAAGAAGAAUAUUCUUCUAAAUACUAAAAUUAGUUAUCAAACCGGACAUAAGAGUUGGGGUGAAUUGUUUAGAUGAAAAACAAUAAAUAUAUGCCUUUAAAAUUGCGAGAUCUAUAAAUUAUAGUCAUUGUACCUACUAUAUUUCUACUAUAUUUUGUUCGAUUUAGAACUUAAAAAAUAAUUUGAUGAUGCACAUAAAUGGUGUUCGUGUAAACGACGUUAAAUCUGAAAUUGAGGUUGCUAAUUUGAUAAGUUUCAACAUAAACUAACCAUGUUGACACCAACCAAAAAAACAUUGAGAUAGGAAACCUAUCCCCAUGCUUUUUUGUCAACGCUCAUUGCUCGACGACAAAUACGUUCGACAACGAAAUUGAGGGAUAUCCCAACAGCUUUGGACAUCAAUAUUUUUUUUUUUUUUUUUUUUUGUAAUGUAACCCUCAAAAGUUUUCUAUCUUUCACUGUUAAUUAUCAUAAUAGGUUUAGGGUUUACAUUAGUUUCUAAAUUAAUAAAAAUUAUUUAAUUAUUGUAAUAAUAUAAAUAUUCUAAUUUUCAUUUAAUUAUUUUUGAAGUAUAAAUAAUUAUUACUAAAAAAAAUAAAUCGGUAGCUUUUAUCAUGGACUAGAUGAAUUACAACCGUAAUUUUCAUUCCAUCAUAUCAACUAUAAAAUUAAAUUAAAAAACCGAAUACAAAAUUUCCAUAUUAAUGUAAAUGGAUUAAGCAGAUGAAAUAAAUUGAACAAAAAAAGAAAUUAAAAAUUUUCAUAUUAAUAUAAACAAUUAUAAUAUUGAUUAAAAAAAGAAAAACUCUAAUAUGAAGUAAAGAGAAAGAGAUGGACAAGUGUUUAACACACGUCCACUAACAAAAGAAAAAAAAAAUAGACGGAAUGUUUAACACACAUCCACCAAUAAAAGAAAGAAAGAAUGGACGAGUUUACUCCACUAAUAAAAAUAAUUGGACGAGAAGUCGUUCAUUAAAAAGAACUGACGUAUGUUCAAAUACUUUAAAACAACAAUAUUUUACUAAUAAGUUUAAAUAACAACUAUACUUAGCGAAUUUUUUCUAAACUCUAAGUUCACAUGCGUUGUUGAUAUUUUCAAGAACUUUAUAGAUGGUAGUGAUAUUUUAAAAUAACUUUAUAGAUGGUAGUGGGAGCAACCUCCCCAAGAAUCAACCUUUACUAUAAUGUUAAUGUCAUAGUCUUGAUAAAAGUCCCCACGAAUGGAUCCUAUGGUUUUUUAAGCUUAUGGCUUCUUCCAGUUAUUUUGAUUCUAAUCAGGAUUGGGCCAAUAAAAUAUGAUACAACACCACAACUUAUAAUAAUAAUUAUUAUUGUUAUUACUUCUGUUGUUGUUGUUUUUGAAAAAGAACAAAACAUAAUAAAUCAAAGGAAGAAAAAUAUGUUAAGAAAAAGUAGAAAGAAAGGCACUGCAAGAUAAGGCUUACACAGGAGAAAGACUGAUACAUGUGUUUGUUUUGUUAUUUAUCAGUAUAGUUUUGGUAAUUUUUUGUGGUUGCUUUCGCAAAAAGUGCUUAUUUUGUUUUCCCAAUAAACUUAUCAUUCCCAAAACCAAAAACUCUAGGCGUGUUGUGUUUUGGCCCAUAAUUAUUUUCUCUCUUUACAUCACUUUUCUUUUUCUUUUUAAUCUCUCUAAAACCCUUGGAAAAAUAGGAUGAAUCGAAAUAUAGCUGCUACACCAAAACUAGGCGCAAAGAACCAACCAGACUGACCUAGUGGAUAAAUCAGGAAUACAGAAACAAAAACAGCAAUUGGGCCCGAGAAUGCGAUUGCAUUAUAAGGUCGCAAUUGAACAGAUCGAGCAAGUUCAAAUUGACGUAACAUGAAACCUAUUAGUCCGAAAGCACCGUGGAGAGCAACAAAAGUCCACAGACCACCUAAUUGACACCAACGAGUAAAAUCUCCUUGUGCUUCAGGGCCCCAUAGUAACAACAAAGAGUGGGCUAAACUAUUAGCAGGAGUCGAAACUGCGGCGGUUAAGAAGUUGCAUCCUUCCAAAUAGGAACUUGCCAAUCCAUGGGUAUACCAUGAAGUUACAAAGGUUGUACCUGUAAACCAACCUCCGACGGCAAAAUAGGCACAAGGAAAGAGCAAUAGACCGGACCAACCUACAAAAACGAAACGGUCCCUCCGUAACCAGUCAUCCAUAAUAUCGAAUAAAUCAUUUUCGUCUUUGGUAAAUUUACCAACGGCUAUAGUCAUAGUGAUCCUCCUAUUCAACUAACUUCAACCAUUUUCGAACACCUCAUUGCAUUUUCAGGGCCUUCGAGUCUAGCAUUUCUGUAUGAUUUCUACUGUCCCUUCUUUCUAAUGGGUUUCGAAUAUAAAAAUCAUUUUUUGAUUGAUCCAAUCCAUAACCUGACCUAGAUCAAUAUUAUAAACUCAAUACUGUAAAUUAAAGUAUCGUUCUCGUCUCCAUUCUUCGUCACAUUGUUGGAACAUAUAUUGAAUAUGUAUCAAUAUGGAAAUAUUUGGCACAUGGAGCCAUGAUCUGAUAUAUAAUUUAUCUUUUUUAUAUAGAUAGAAAAUAUCUUAUCUUAUCUUAUAGCGAUAGAAAUUUAUCUUAUCCUCUGUUAUCUUCAUCUUCUGUUUUGGAAUCAAAGAAAGAUAUUUUUAAACGGCUCAUAUGUUGUGACUUGGAAUAAACGUUUCUCUGUGGAGAAAGAGCAAUAGCAAUUUUUUCCUAUAGAACGUCUACAAACAAGAGGAUUUAAUCGGAAAUAUCGACAGAUUCCUGUGUGUGGAGUCCAAAUAAAUAUGAAAAUGAAAUAAAAAAGAUCCACUGUUCUAAUUUCAUCCUUAUCGAAUUUGAAUAUCAGAAUAGUGGAUAUAGUCAUGAUUCAACGGGUUAGGUCCACUUACUUUUUUUUUGUUGAUUUCGAAUCUUUAUAAUUGAUUGGAAUAAUGGAAAAUAGGAAUAUUUUGGAAUUCAAGGAAACAACUUAUCAUGAUUCAUUAGAAUCAUGAUAGAUUAUUUGAAUCUAUUCUAAGGAUUAGAAUAGAAUCUAGAAUUUUAUUCUAGAAUCAAAAUAAUAAAAAAAUGUGUCACUAUAGAAUUUCGAAUUUUUAGUUUCUAACUAUAAUUACUAUUAUAUUAUUCAUUAUAAUAAUAACUUGGUAUAAUUAAAGAUAACUUUUUUAUAAAAAAAUGAAAUUAAAAUUAUACGGUUUGUACUUUUUUUAUUACAAAAAAAAAAAUAUGUCGUCUAUUCUCCCCUCAAUCAAAUAUGAAUACUACGGCUGGAGUUUUAUGAAAAAAGCCAA
This 33709-nucleotide long non-coding RNA is filed under the name Cucumis sativus (cucumber). RNAcentral describes it as "long non-coding RNA (CSAT_LNC001598)". The record is from RNAcentral. Lineage: Eukaryota; Viridiplantae; Streptophyta; Magnoliopsida; Cucurbitales; Cucurbitaceae.